AUGGGGGAACAAACAGCAAACCUCACCGCCCUGAUGGAGAAGCUCUUGUCCAGAUUCGAUGAAGAGCAAGCUCUGGCGACCAAACGCGCGGAGGCACAGGCCACGUUCAACACGCACGUCUCCACCGAGCUGCAGAGCCUAUCCAAGCAGAUCGGGCUCACGCAGGCCGACGUGGAUGACGUGCGCAAGGCGACUUCUCCGACGGCUUCCUCCGCCAUGGCAUUGGCGUCGCAGGUGGACGACCCCUCCGCGGCAGGUUCCCGCACGCCGGCAGCCACCAACGGCAUCCAGCAGCCUGUGCCCCCUCCAGCUCCACCCGCCCAGCGCACCGCACCUCCUCAGAGUGCCCUGCCUAUUCCGCAGGCUUUUGGGAGCACGGCAGCCAUCGCCCGGCUCGCCAACGAAGGGCCUCCCCUGCUCACGAGGCCAGAUGCGCAGUUCAACUUGCAGCUGCCCAGCACACCGACGCCGCGGGAUGAGUACUCAGUCCGGCCACCCAAACACCACUUCCCCCGCUUCGAUGGUGAUGCGCCCCGCAUCUGGCUGGAUCGCUGCCUAGCAUACUUCGAGCUGUAUAGGGUGCCGCCGCACAACUAG
RNAcentral lists this ribosomal RNA (597 nucleotides) under Triticum aestivum (bread wheat). RNAcentral describes it as "partial small subunit ribosomal RNA". The record is from RNAcentral. Lineage: Eukaryota; Viridiplantae; Streptophyta; Magnoliopsida; Poales; Poaceae.